AUUACUUGAGAUUUUUCCUGUUGUUUGAAAACCCUUUUAGAAAAAAACCCCAGCCCUUAAUAUUUUCCUUUCUUCUCCUUACCUCUUCCCUUUGUUCCAGUGAUCUGAUAGGGAGUGAGAGAGGGAAGGGCAGUGAAGUCUUUGUGUGGGCAUGCAUGUGUCUGUCUGAAAACUGAAUCAUAGUAGAAAACAUAAGAAAGAAGAAAGCUCAGCAAAUAUAGGACAACUUCAGGAAAGUAUCUAGCUCUGUUGGGGGUCAAACUUCAAUAAUGGAUAGGUGGCUGAAAACAGGCAGAUUGAAAGGGGAAGAAGAAAAUGAACAAAGUGAAAGUAGUGAAACUCUGCAGCACAGACAAAAUUUCUUAAUCACAUCACAUAUGCCAUUAUCCGAUAAAGCAAAACCUCCAAGUACAGCUGCGUGACUACUUUCCCAUUCCUGAGUCAAGAUACAACUGGAUUAGGAACCUCUUUGGGAGUGCUGAUAAUACUAUACUCUCAGACCUGACACCAAAAGAACAAGACAACUUAACAGAACUUGCAUGUGACAAUUGAAAGCUAUUCUUCACACAAAAGCACUUGUCUAACUUCUGGCUAUAUGUUCAUUCUGAGUUCCGAGAACUCUCUGAUAAGGCUGUGAAGUACCUGAUGCCUUUUCCUACAACUUAUGUUUGUGAAAGGGGAUUUUCUGCACUUGUUGCAUUGAAAUCAAAAUAUUGAAACAAGUUAGAUAUGGAACCAGAUUUAAGGUUGAAACUUACAUUACUUCAACCAGACUUCCAAUCUCUGACAGGUGCAAAUGAGCACCGGUCUUCUCAUUAACUCAAUUAUACCAUGGAUGUAUGAGGCUGAUUUUAAGAGCCUGUCAACACUUAAUCAUUUGGUCACCUGGACACUCUUGGGCUGCAUUCAGACUGUACAUUUAUUCCACUAUUAUUCCACUUGAAACAGUCAUGGCUUCCACCAAAGUAUGGUGGGAACUGUAGUUUCUUAAGGGUGCUCAGAGACCCUUGUUCCCCUCACAGAUCUACAAUUCUCAGAGUUUCCUGGGAAGAGGGUUGGAAUGUUAAACCACUCAGGGAAUUGUAGCUCUCUGAGGAGAACAGGAACCUCCUAACAACUCUCAGCACCCUUCACAAACUACACUUUCCAGGCUUCUUUGGGGGAAGCCAUGAGUAUUUAAAGCGAAUAAUAGCAGUAUAAAUAUAUGGUGUGAAUGUGGCCUGGUUUCACUCUUCUUUAGAUUGUGGGUUUCAGAAGUAAUUAUCUGAGCAGAUUCAUUUGGGGAGGGACCUGUUCUGGAGCCCCUGUGUGUGUGUGUGUGUGUGUGUGUGUGUGCGCGUGCAUGCACAUGCGUGCACACAUGCGUGCACAUGUGCCUGCACACAUGCAUGCACACGUAUGUGUAUGGGGCUGGUGCAUGAAGCCCCUAGUUGACCAUCCUUCAAAAUUUGUUAGAAGUUGUUUAUAUUGCUGCAACCUGC
This is a long non-coding RNA of Rhineura floridana, 1481 nucleotides long. RefSeq lists it as uncharacterized. The transcript has 3 exons. The record is from RefSeq and is a predicted model, not a curated record. NCBI's taxonomy places the organism in Eukaryota, Metazoa, Chordata, Lepidosauria, Squamata, Rhineuridae.